This is a non-coding RNA of Coprinopsis marcescibilis, 93 nucleotides long. Lineage: Eukaryota; Fungi; Basidiomycota; Agaricomycetes; Agaricales; Psathyrellaceae. The record is from the annotation of a GenBank genome assembly.
GCCAUCGUUGCACAAUGGUAGUGCGUUGCUUUCCUACAACAUCUGUGAGAUGGUGUGAGGCAGAGGUUGCGGGUUCGAGUCCCGUCGAUGGUU